AGUGAAGAAAGGCAGCAGGAAAGACACAUCUACUGCUCAGCCGAAAGCAGCCCUGACACGCCAUUUCCUGGGACUGGUACUGCCAGCAUGUGAUGGAUAAAUGGUCUGCUCUCCAUCUGAGAGGCAAGCCUUCUCUUACUGGAGCCCUGGCAUUUUCUUCAAGAGGACUGCCAAUUGUCUUAAUGUUCCUACGACGUGCGUAAAUGACUGAGGUUUCAGAUUAGAAGGCAAGAGCCGUCACCUCCUGCCCUGUCUUCUUCCUAGGGAAGGUUCCUGAAUCUUCUGGACAGAGCUGCUCUUAAGAAAGCCCUCCCAACAUGAAAUAUAUUAUAAAAGAUACAUAGCAUUCCAUCUACAAGAUACUGUUUGGUUCUUGGCCAUAACAAAUAGUGGUCCUUAAGGAGAAGGAUGCCACAGCUCCCUUGCCAUAAGGAGCCUCUUGAUGAACUCAUUUUUAUAAGUUUAUGCCCAAAUGUCCCAAAAUGAAUCAUUGGCAUUUAGAAGCUUUGCCCCCAUUUGUCUUAAAAGCCAAACCGAACCAAACCAACAACUUUGCUAUAGCAGAAGUCAUCUAUGAUCUUGUAGGAAAUGAAAGCAGUAUUAAAUCCAUUCAGCUUCCAGCUAAAAGAAGACUCCAGAGCUCAGGAAGGAGUGUUGUCAAAGAAGGUGCAAUGAAAGACUAUGUCAGGGGCACUUGGGUGGCUCAGUCAGUUAAGCAUCUGCCUUUGGCUCAGGUCACCAUCCCAGGAUCUUGGAAUCGAGCCCCACAUCAGGUUCCCUGCUCAGUGGGGAGUCUGCUUCUCCCUCUGCCCUCUGUUCCUCCCCCUGCUCAUGUGCUUUCUCUCUCUCUCUCCCUUUCUCUCAAAUAAAUAAAUAAAUAAAAAUCUUUGGGACACCUGAGUUGCUUAGUCAGUUUAGUCUCUGCCUUUGGCUCAUGUCAUGAUCCUGGGGUCCUGGGAUCCAGCCCCACAUCAAGCUCUCUGCUCGGCUGGGAGCUUGUUUCUCCCUCUCCCUCUCCCUGCUGUUCCCCCUGCUUGGGCUCUCUCUCUGUCUCGAAUGGUUGCAUAAAAUCUUUAAAAAAUAAUUUUUUUUUAAAAGAAAGACUGUGUCAGAACAAGACAAGCACAAGCUAUGCCACCUAUACACAGAAAUGUUGCUACAUUUGCUUUGUUAUUUGCACCUGAGCAAACAAAAAUUGGGAAGACAAAAGUGUUUAUUGAAAGUUGUGGUUAAAUAUUUCUCCAAUUUUUUAUUAUAAUUAUUUCAGAGUUUUCUUCCUUCAGUGUUCCUGAACACAUACACAGACACAGAGAGAGAGAGUCAAAGAAAGAUAGCAUCACAGUUUAAGGAGGGAUUGGCUCAAGUGUCAGAGAGGUAGAAGGAGACACAGAUGAAAUAUUAUAGAAGGAGACCCAUGGAAGGCACAUGCAUAGCAAUUAUUAUGCAGCAGGCAUUAGCCUAAACAUUUAAUCACCACAAUAGCCUCGUGAAAUAGAUGCAACUAUUAUCAGCAUUUUAUGGACCAGAGAGACUAAGGUACUGGGAGACUAACUAUCGUGUCCCAAGUCUCACGGUUCAUCAGUGGUAUAGCUGGGAUUUGAGACAGAGGUUUUGUAACCAUGCAUUUAAUUACCAGCCAGACAAGGGAUAAAGAAGUUUGAGAAAAAGGGAUCCAUUCCUGUAGGUCACAUAAAGGAAAGGAGUGCACUGGUUUCAGCAACAAGGAAGUCAUUAAUGCCUUUUGUCAGAACUGUUUCAAUGGGAAGGUGAAGAUAGAAAAGCAGGCUUUGGUGUUGCUCAGUGAGGUCUUCUGUGGCAACUCUUCUGACUUCAGAUUUUUCCCAGUUUUUCUAUUCAAGUAGGGAUCUUCUUCCAGAAUAAGACUCUGAGACCGCAUUUGACAAGCAAGAUCUUGAUCAAGGAAUCCACUGUGUGAGGAAGAGAGAAGGAGCCCUAUAGGGGGAGAAAAGGAAGUCAAACUUCCAUGCAGACCUACAACAGUUCUAGAGAGUCCGACAGGGAGAAUUGGGGGAUUAGUGACCAUUAAAAUUGUUUUACGUUGGGUUAACAUGGCUCAGCUAUAAAGCUGGUUAUAAAACUACUCUUGGCUCAGUCACCAGAUGUGGCUGCUCCAGGCAUGGCGUGGCCAGGGAUGGGGUUGGGGUGGGAGGCUGGCAACUGGAACAGAACCUGAAAGAGCUGGCAACUGGAGGCCCUCUGCUAACCAAACUAUCUGCGCAAGUCCUUGGACAGGGAGUGCUUACCAUACCUUCCAAUACAUUUUCGACCUUUUAUUUCCUUAUAUUAAAUCUCAUAUGUGGAUAAUUAAAAAUGGCCUUUCCCCCCUCUAACUGGUGCAUAGACUGUAAGCAACUUUUGCGUUAGAUUUUUAAGUAUUUCUUUGAUACGGUCUUUUUAAUAGACCAGUAACAACUUGAGGUCAAGGACCUUAUAUUUUCAUCUUGUUUUCUCAAAUCUAACAGAGCAAUGUGACUCAUAAUAAAAUGUGUUGACGAUUGAAUAGGUGGGGCAUUUGAAAUAAGUCUUUAAGGAUGACUAAGAGUUUACCAGUCAGAACACAGAACCAAAGGCUAAACAGCUUGUGUGCUAAUUAAGCUUGCAGUAAUUGUGUUUUUUAAAUAUAUAAAUGAACAGUUUACAUUUAUCCACUGCACUGCAAAAGCUUAUUCAGUGCCCCCAGCAGAAGUCUUUCCAAAAACAUUUGGAAGAAUAAGUAAAAUGCACUUAUCUACUUUCAGAUAAUUUAUUUAAAUGAAAAUGUUUUAGUAUAUAACCCAUUUUCAGGGGAUUUUUUUUUAAUUUAAAAUGUAUUUGUAAAUUUCAUAAGUUUAAAUUCAAUGUAAGAUGAGAGAACAAAGAUGACCAUUUCAAAGAUGUACUUUUAAAAAUAUAAAGUCAUUUUCUACUUGUAUUAUACAUUAUACAUUCUUUUCUACCCAAUUUUUUGUUUUACUCAAUACUAGAUACUGCUUCAGUUCCUCUUUUAUAAGUGGAUAAUAAUUUAUAGAUUUUUAUGAGAGCUGAAUUAAAUAACAUUUAAACUACUUAAGUACCUUGGUAUAACAGAUACAAAAAGAUGCCUUGUUUUUUGUACCUUAAUUAUCUUUUAAUUUAGGGAAAGGGCUCCCUCUCAUCUCAUUUCCAGCACCUAGCACUAUUUG
RNAcentral lists this long non-coding RNA (3182 nucleotides) under Canis lupus familiaris (dog). RNAcentral describes it as "lncRNA (ENSCAFG00040016734.1)". The record is from RNAcentral. Lineage: Eukaryota; Metazoa; Chordata; Mammalia; Carnivora; Canidae.